This 357-nucleotide long non-coding RNA is filed under the name Rhopalosiphum maidis (corn leaf aphid). RNAcentral's name for it is "uncharacterized LOC113558903". The record is from RNAcentral. Lineage: Eukaryota; Metazoa; Arthropoda; Insecta; Hemiptera; Aphididae.
CAACAUCCUACGUUGAAAAUGGACUAGACGAUACUGAUAACAAUAAUGGUUUUAUGCAAAAUUGCAGUGCAACAGAUCACUCAACGGUUGCUGAGCAUGAAUUAACAUUUUUAGCGCUUGGAAUAGUUUCAACAUCCUAUGUUUAAUAUGGAUUAGAAGAUUGCAGUACAGCAGAUCUUUCAAGCCAUGAUGAAACAUGAAUUAUCGUUUUUAGCACUUGGGAAAAUUUGGAUAUCCCAUGUUGAAAUUUGACUAGACAAUACUGAUAAUAAUAAUAAUAAUAAUGGUAUUUUGCAUGUGCAGCAGUUCACCCAAGGCUUGCUGAGACAGAAAUUUGCAUUCAUACCACUUUGGGAA